This 467-nucleotide ribosomal RNA is filed under the name uncultured bacterium. RNAcentral describes it as "partial 16S ribosomal RNA". It matches the Rfam family "Bacterial small subunit ribosomal RNA", at positions 28 to 507 of the family's 1533-position model. The record is from RNAcentral.
GACGAACGCUGGCGGCGUGCUUAACACAUGCAAGUCGAACGGAAAGGCCCUGCUUUUGUGGUGUGCUCGAGUGGCGAACGGGUGAGUAACACGUGAGUAACCUGCCCUUGACUUUGGGAUAACUUCAGGAAACUGGGGCUAAUACCGGAUAGGAGCUCCUGCUGCAUGGUGGGGGUUGGAAAGUUUCGGCGGUUGGGGAUGUACUCGCGGCUUAUCAGCUUGUUGGUGGGGUAGUGGAUUACCAAGGCUUUGACGGGUAGCCGGCCUGGGAGGGUGACCGGCUCCAUGGGGCUAGGGGAAGGGCCAGGAGUCAACCGGGGGCAAGGGGGGGGAACCUUUGCCAAACGGGCGGAGGCGUGAUGGAGAACCGCCGGGUGGGGAAGGCCGGCUGUCGGGUGGUAAACGCAUUCGGCUUGUACCGAGGUGUGAGGACGGUAAACGGGGAAAAAACACCGGCUAACUUCGGG